AACCCCAGUCAAUAGAACUACGGCGUAAAACGUGAUUAAGGGCCUUUCUCUCCCAUAAAGUCAAACCCUGGCUAUGCCGUAAAAAGCCACAGCCACUGUAAGCUCCACCACGAAAGUGACUUUAAAUUACCUGAAUACACGACAGCUAAGACCCAAACUGGGAUUAGAUACCCCACUAUGCUUGGCCAUAAACCCAAAGAAUCGACCUAACAAGAUUCUUCGCCAGAGUACUACUAGCCAAAGCUUAAAACUCAAGGGACUUGGCGGUGCUUUAUAUCCCUCUAGAGGAGCCUGUUCUAUAAUCGAUAAACCCCGAUAAACCUCACCAACCCUCGCCAACC
RNAcentral lists this ribosomal RNA (341 nucleotides) under Glyphonycteris sylvestris (Tricolored bat). RNAcentral describes it as "partial 12S ribosomal RNA". It matches the Rfam family "Bacterial small subunit ribosomal RNA", at positions 611 to 989 of the family's 1533-position model. Lineage: Eukaryota; Metazoa; Chordata; Mammalia; Chiroptera; Phyllostomidae. The record is from RNAcentral.